Molecule: microRNA, 21 nt
Filed under: Strongyloides ratti
Lineage: Eukaryota; Metazoa; Nematoda; Chromadorea; Rhabditida; Strongyloididae
Description: str-miR-8396-5p
Source: miRBase by way of RNAcentral
CGGGUUUAUCAUUGCCAAACU